CGGCGGGAGUAACUAUGACUCUC
This 23-nucleotide non-coding RNA is filed under the name Arabidopsis thaliana (thale cress). The record is from RNAcentral. RNAcentral also lists the same sequence under 4 other names. Lineage: Eukaryota; Viridiplantae; Streptophyta; Magnoliopsida; Brassicales; Brassicaceae.